This 291-nucleotide ribosomal RNA is filed under the name uncultured bacterium. RNAcentral's name for it is "partial 16S ribosomal RNA". It matches the Rfam family "Bacterial small subunit ribosomal RNA", at positions 505 to 796 of the family's 1533-position model. The record is from RNAcentral.
GUGUCAGCAGCCGCGGUAAUACGUAGGGGGCAAGCGUUGUCCGGAAUUAUUGGGCGUAAAGCGCGCGCAGGCGGCGAUGUAAGUCUGGUGUUUAAGCCCAGGGCUCAACCCUGGUUCGCACUAGAAACUGCAUGGCUUGAGUGUAGGAGAGGAAAGUGGAAUUCCACGUGUAGCGGUGAAAUGCGUAGAGAUGUGGAGGAACACCAGUGGCGAAGGCGACUUUCUGGCCUAUAACUGACGCUGAGGCGCGAAAGCGUGGGGAGCAAACAGGAUUAGAAACCCUCGUAGUCC